This 553-nucleotide ribosomal RNA is filed under the name uncultured archaeon. RNAcentral describes it as "bacterial SSU rRNA". It matches the Rfam family "Archaeal small subunit ribosomal RNA", at positions 326 to 879 of the family's 1478-position model. The record is from RNAcentral.
CGGGGUGCAGCAGGCGCGAAAACUUUACAAUGCCGGCAACGGCGANUAGGGGACCUCGAGUGCCAGGUUACAAAUCUGGCUGUCGUGAUGCCUAAAAAGCAUUGCAUAGCAAGGGCCGGGCAAGACCGGUGCCAGCCGCCGCGGUAACACCGGCGGCUCGAGUGGUAACCGUUAUUAUUGGGUCUAAAGGGUCUGUAGCCGGCCGGAUAAGUCUCUUGGGAAAUCUGGCAGCUUAACUGUCAGGCUUUCAGGAGAUACUGUCUGGCUCGAGGCCGGGAGAGGUGAGAGGUACUUCAGGGGUAGGGGUGAAAUCUUGUAAUCCUUGAAGGACCACCAGUGGCGAAGGCGUCUCACCAGAACGGACCUGACGGCAAGGGACGAAAGCUAGGGGCACGACCCGGAUUAGAUACCCGGGUAGUCCUAGCCGUAAACGAUACUCGCUAGGUGUCGGCCACGGUGCGACCGUGGUCGGUGCCGUAGGGAAGCCGUGAAGCGAGCCACCUGGGAAGUACGGCCGCAAGGCUGAAACUUAAAGGAAUUGGCGGGGGAGCAC